UACGAGGGGAGCAAGCGUUGUUCGGAUUUACUGGGCGUAAAGGGCGCGUAGGCGGCGUGUCAAGUCACUUGUGAAAUCUCCGGGCUUAACCCGGAACGGUCAAGUGAAACUGUCGUGCUAGAGUACAGAAGGGGCAACUGGAAUUCUCGGUGUAGCGGUGAAAUGCGUAGAUAUCGAGAGGAACACCUGCGGCGAAGGCGGGUUGCUGGGCUGAUACUGACGCUGAGGCGCGAAAGCCAGGGGAGCGAACGGG
This 253-nucleotide ribosomal RNA is filed under the name uncultured bacterium. RNAcentral's name for it is "partial 16S ribosomal RNA". It matches the Rfam family "Bacterial small subunit ribosomal RNA", at positions 524 to 776 of the family's 1533-position model. The record is from RNAcentral.